Molecule: ribosomal RNA, 484 nt
Filed under: uncultured bacterium
Lineage: Bacteria
Description: partial 16S ribosomal RNA
Rfam family: Bacterial small subunit ribosomal RNA
Source: RNAcentral
AGUGAACGCUGGCGGCAGGCCUAACACAUGCAAGUCGAGCGGAUGAAGGGAGCUUGCUCCUGGAUUCAGCUGCGGACUGGUGAGUAAUGCCGAGGAAUCUGCCUGGUUGUGGUGGAUAACGUGCGGAAACGGGCGCUAAUACCGCAUACGUCCUGAGGGAGUAAGGGGGGGAUCUUCGGACCUUCCGCUAUCAGGUGAGCCUAGGUCGGAUUAGCUAGUUGGUGGGGUAAAGGCCUACCAAGGCGACGAUCCGUAACUGGUCUGAGAGGAUGAUCAGCCACACUGGAACUGAGACACGGUCCAGACUCCUACGGGAGGCAGCAGUGGGGAAUAUUGGACAAUGGGCGCAAGCCUGAUCCAGCCAUGCCGCGUGUGUGAAGAAGGUCUUCGGAUUGUAAAGCACUUUAAGUUGGGAGGAAGAGCAGUAAGUUAAUACCUUGCUGUUUUGACGUUACCAACAGAAUAAGCACCGGCUAACUUCGUG